UUACGUUGUGGAUAUCUAUGGGCUUCA
This 27-nucleotide small RNA is filed under the name Bombyx mori (domestic silkworm). RNAcentral's name for it is "ovarian small RNA-36605". Lineage: Eukaryota; Metazoa; Arthropoda; Insecta; Lepidoptera; Bombycidae. The record is from RNAcentral.